UACGCAGGGGGCUAGCGUUGUUCGGAAUUACUGGGCGUAAAGGGCUCGUAGGCGGCCAACUAAGUCAGACGUGAAAUCCCUCAGCUUAACUGGGGAACUGCGUCUGAUACUGGAUGGCUAGAGUGUGGGAGAGGGAUGCGGAAUUCCAGGUGUAGCGGUGAAAUGCGUAGAUAUCUGGAGGAACACCGGUGGCGAAGGCGGCAUCCUGGACCACGACUGACGCUGAGUGAGCGAAAGCCAGGGGAGCAAACGGG
Molecule: ribosomal RNA, 254 nt
Filed under: uncultured bacterium
Lineage: Bacteria
Description: partial 16S ribosomal RNA
Rfam family: Bacterial small subunit ribosomal RNA
Source: RNAcentral